AUUUAUAUAGUAUAAAAUAUUACUAUUAAUUUCCAAUUAAUAAAUUUUUCUAAAGAAAAUAUAAAUA
This 67-nucleotide transfer RNA is filed under the name Scolia bicincta. RNAcentral's name for it is "tRNA-Gly". The record is from RNAcentral. Lineage: Eukaryota; Metazoa; Arthropoda; Insecta; Hymenoptera; Scoliidae.